Long non-coding RNA from Herpailurus yagouaroundi (jaguarundi), 4048 nucleotides. RefSeq lists it as uncharacterized. Lineage: Eukaryota; Metazoa; Chordata; Mammalia; Carnivora; Felidae. The record is from RefSeq and is a predicted model, not a curated record. The transcript has 7 exons.
CAUGGAAGCUAAUAGACUGGUGGGGAGGGGGGGGUUCUACCCUGUAUUUGUGAAGCAGAACACUGUGUUGUGAUUUUUAGAUCAGACACAGGGAGGCAGCAGUAAGCCAAUGAGGAGCAGGAACAAUGGGAACAGCUUUGAGCCAGAAAGUUUGACUCUAGACCAGGAGAAGCCAGCUAGCUGUUUAAAAUCAUUUAAACCAAACAGAAACACAUUAUUUUAAAAACUUUAAAAUCAAACAUUAGCAGAAUUUACCGUUCUAGCAUAUGUUUUCUGCUCCCUGUUAGCGCUUAAUUUCAUUCACUUCCCAAAUGUUUUGCUUUGCUUACUCACAAUUUUCUUUUCUUUUUAUUUUUUAUUUUUCAGUAAUCCCUGCACCCAACGUGGGGCUCGAACUUACAACCCCGAGAUCAAAAGUUGCAUUCUGUACCGAGACAGCCAGGCACCCCGACAAUAUUAUUUUUUAAUCCAUUUAGGAGUGUGAGUAUUUUAAAGCUGACAAGCAUCUUCCUGACUGGUCCAAGUUGAAGCCCCAGGAGUGGAUCAAGAUAUUCCUACCCCAGGAGGACACAGAAGGCAAGCCCGGAGCGGUGCAGAAGGUAAGAAGGACCGCCUUAGUGGAGAACCCACGGUGGACUGGAGCUGACAACAUCGUUAGAGCAAAUUGGUUUCCAAGGGCUCCUUUUUAAACGAGGGAACGCAGCCGCACUACCUCUGCCUCCCCAAAGAGGAUUCAUCUCAUCCCUGCCUGUCUGAAACCUGGAUGCUGCAGGCUGGGGAUUUCGUAAACAAAGAACUCUGUGAGGCAAGCACUCUUACGGCUCCAUAUUAAAGCUGAGGUCCCUGAGGCCCAAAGGAUGGAGUGGUUCUUCAAGGAGCGGUGCAGCCAGCAUUUGAACUGAGCAGAAAGUUGGAAAUGUGGCUACAAAGUUCAGGAGCAACCAUGGGAAUAGAAAUCUCGCUGCAGAGUCAAGAGCAGAGACUUGUUACCGAAUGAACAGGCAUAUCCAGGAAUAGCAUGGAGAUGGGGACACAAGUGGUCUGAGCCGGAGCCUGGGGGACAUUGGACAGAAGACAUGAAGUAUAACAGAAUGUACAGCUCAGUCUGGAUGAGACUCUCUGAGAGCAAAGCUGUUUAUUUGGCUCACCACUGUAUCCCUGUACCUGGAGCAGAGCUCAGCAUGCAAUAGCUAUGUAGGCCACGAUUUGCUCAGCAUAUCUCUUCCUAAAUUCCAAGACAGGCUUCUUGCUCUGUUCAGUCAAGACUGCCAACCCAGGAAACAUUUUCGAAAGAUCACAGUCAACGUCAUUGCCAAAAGAAGAAGUUCUUGGCACGCGAAGAACCGGGUUCAAUAUGAGAUGCCAGAUGGUGAUUUCAACUUCAGCUGAAUUCCUGCUGGAAAAAACUGUUUGAACUGCAGAUGAGAAAAGAUGCUAUGACAAAUUUCCAAGUGUUAGGAACUUCAGAGGGAAAUGGCAAGUGUUGAUACACCACCCCCCCCCCCGUCCCUCCAACCACAUGCACACAUACCAUAGAACUACUUACUACCUGCAUCUGGUAGUUAAGAUUCCCACAAAGAUGCCUCUGCUUUUUAAGAAGAUUAAGCCAUGUCUUGAUUUUUACUAAUAUUAAAGUAUACUAACUGAGUCCAUUGAAAGCAAAUACUAUAUGAUUCCACGUGGUGUUUUUCAAAGGAUGUGUCCCCUUAGCAUCUGCGGUGAGCUUUUUUGGUAUCUGGAGGUGGUUCUCAUUCCUCUCUACUAAUAACUCCAUUAUUAAACCAAUUAAUAAUCAGCAUGUCUCCCCUCCCUAUUUUCAAAUUACAGGGAAUAUAUAUGAACUAUAAAUUGAUGGUGCUCUGCCUGGAUGCUCUUGGGUCCCUGACUUACUGGUGCAGGAGAUCGAAAGCCUAGCUCCCCUGAGUCAAGUCAGGGCAUAUUCUGGAAUGUGGUUUAUGCUCCAGAGCUCCUCUCCAGAUCCUGAUGAGGUUGGGGCUUUGCCUGAAAGUGGGCCCUCGGCUGGCUCCUUCUCUUCUGCUUUCCCUGUCUUGCUCCUCCCUCCCCUCCUUCUUUUCUCCACCACGCUCCCUUACAGAAUGAAGGAGUAUCUCUUUAACAACAUUCUUGCACACAAAUCCUCAUCCCAGGGUCUGCUUCUGGGGAAAUGACUUAAAAUUCUGUGUAGUGGAAAAUUUCAUUUCAUGCUGAUAUAAAAAAAAAAAAAGUUAUUUCCUGCUGAUAGAUAGAAGAGUCACUGUUUCUGGAGCAAGGAAUGCAUGCAUAUCUAUUUUAUCAAUCAAAAGCUCAGAAGGAAAUAGUGGAUGAACUCAAAUUAGGUAUUUGGAGAAUAGUUAAUAAGGAGACUAAUUACAAAGGGGUGGGCUGGGUGCAGAGAAACAAGGAUAGGGCCUGCCUGCUGUUACCAAGCCCCACUGAUAUCUGGAGAACUGGUGACAGAGUUGUGUGGAGAGGGCUGUGGCAGAAGCUGUGGUCUUAAGGGAUGCAACCAGCCUACAGAGACCCUAUAGGGGGUAAGCUGGCCAAAUAAAUACCCCAAUCUCAUGCCCCUUCAUUCCUCCAAUCUUUUGCCAGUGACCCCAUGAGCUGAACCUAAUGGGAAGCCAGGUGCAAAAGGGCCCCUUCAUGCAGUACAUCUAAGCUGGCCUCUUAGGUCAUGGGGCAGGUGGAGAAGGGCAGAGAGGGCAUCCAGAGGGACAAACAGAGGCUCUCCAGCACACCCACCUACCUAUUCCCCCCGUUUCUCUCUCUCUCUCUCUCUCUCUCUCUCUCUCUCUCUCUCUCACACACACACACACAGAAUUUGCCUGUUCUUGACUUUGACCUCAGAACAGACACACAUAAAAUAGUCCCUAAUUUUUCUCUCUGUUGAUCUUGUUUUCUUUUAUCUUAUUUAUAGUUUAGGGACCCAGAGAUAGGCUGAUGAUGUUGCUCAUCACACAGCCUAUCAAUAAUCAAGAAUCGGAAAAAAAAAAUUUUUAUUUUUUAUUAAAGUCUGGGUGUGGUAUCUGGGCAUCGCCACAGUAGCCCCCAAAACCCCACCCUCUAAGAUGGCAUUUUUUUUUUGUAGACUGAAAUAUGACUCACAGAGCUCACUACCAUAAAAUUUAUCAUCACUUACACCUCCAUACUUUGGUGGAAAGAUCUCUAAUUUAUAUCCCAUACCCAUUUUCUCCCAAUUGAAAACAAAAUACAAAUCAAAGAUUUAUGUGGGUUUUUUUUUUUUUUUUGGUAAUAGCAUAUUUAAUUUCUUUCUCAUCAAUCCAAAAAUGCCCUCAUUAUUCAGUUUACUCCCAAAUGUCCUCAUUAUUGGAAGCCAUGCUCUCUUACUAUUGGUCUCAUUUUCUGUUUCUGAAAUGGUCAUUUUCCUCCCAAACAGCUUUGGCCUGGUUCAGAAUAGAAAGCACUGCAAAAUGUGCAGAUUGAAGACAAACGGUCACUCAGUUACUUCAAGGUCUUUGAGAUUAAUCAUUGGAAAGCAACAUCCUGGUCUUUGGGAUGCUGGCAGGAGCUGAUGCGGGUGAGAUGAAGGAUAGAUGAUGGAGAAGAACCACUUGCACAAUCCCCAGAGGACAGGCCUUCUGGGCCCCUAGCCCUCUCUCUGCUGGGUGCCCUGCAGACCCAGAUACAGCCGAGCACAAAACAGCUGUUUGCAUCAUCCACAAACCCUCCCGGAAGGCAAGUGCCAAGGGUGGUCAGUCCAGCCUGAGGAGUCUGAUGCAAUCACUGUGAGAUCAACUUGAGCAAGGCCCCCAACCGUCACAAAUUCCUUGUGAGAAGGAACAGGGUUAGAUGCACUUAGAAUCUUCUUCUUGUUCUAACAUUGCACUGUGGGUAGAGUAGCCAUUGGCCACAUGUGACUAGUCUGAAUUGAGACGUGCUGUCAGUACCAAAUACUCACCACAUUCAAAGACUUAGUACAAACACUAAUGUAAGUUAUAUCAUUAAAAAGUUUUGAUAUUGGUUACAUGUUGAAAUGAUAAAAAUUUGAGUUUGUAUUCGGUUAAAUAAAACAUAACAAUUCUACUAA